CCUACGGGAGGCUGCAGUGGGGAAUAUUGGACAAUGGGCGAAAGCCUGAUCCAGCCAUGCCGCGUGUGUGAAGAAGGCCUUCGGGUUGUAAAGCACUUUCAGUGGGGAAGAAAGCCUUGGGGCUAAUACCCUCGAGGAAGGACAUCACCCACAGAAGAAGCACCGGCUAACUCCGGGCCAGCAGCCGCGGUAAUACGGAGGGUGCGAGCGUUAAUCGGAAUUACUGGGCGUAAAGCGCGCGUAGGCGGUCUGAUAAGCCGGUUGUGAAAGCCCCGGGCUCAACCUGGGAACGGCAUCCGGAACUGGCAGGCUAGAGUGCAGGAGAGGAAGGUAGAAUUCCCGGUGUAGCGGUGAAAUGCGUAGAGAUCGGGAGGAAUACCAGUGGCGAAGGCGGCCUUCUGGACUGACACUGACGCUGAGGUGCGAAAGCGUGGGUAGCAAACAGGAUUAGAUACCCCUGUAGUC
Molecule: ribosomal RNA, 465 nt
Filed under: Vreelandella stevensii
Lineage: Bacteria; Pseudomonadati; Pseudomonadota; Gammaproteobacteria; Oceanospirillales; Halomonadaceae
Description: partial 16S ribosomal RNA
Rfam family: Bacterial small subunit ribosomal RNA
Source: RNAcentral